ACGGAUGACGCUGGCGGCGUGCCUAUUACAUGCAGUCGAGCGAAUGGAUUAAGAGCUUGCUCUUAUGAAGUUAGCGGCGGACGGGUGAGUAACACGUGGGUAACCUGCCCAUAAGACUGGGAUAACUCCGGGAAACCGGGGCUAAUACCGGAUAACAUUUUGAACCGCAUGGUUCGAAAUUGAAAGGCGGCUUCGGCUGUCACUUAUGGAUGGACCCGCGUCGCAUUAGCUAGUUGGUGAGGUAACGGCUCACCAAGGCAACGAUGCGUAGCCGACCUGAGAGGGUGAUCGGCCACACUGGGACUGAGACACGGCCCAGACUCCUACGGGAGGCAGCAGUAGGGAAUCUUCCGCAAUGGACGAAAGUCUGACGGAGCAACGCCGCGUGAGUGAUGAAGGCUUUCGGGUCGUAAAACUCUGUUGUUAGGGAAGAACAAGUGCUAGUUGAAUAAGCUGGCACCUUGACGGUACCUAACCAGAAAGCCACGGCUAACUACGUGCCAGCAGCCGCGGUAAUACCUAGGUGGCAAGCGUUACCCGAAUUUUUGGGGGUAAAGCGCGCGCAGGUGGUUUCCUAAAUCUUAUGUGAAAGCCCCG
This 597-nucleotide ribosomal RNA is filed under the name Bacillus cereus. RNAcentral's name for it is "bacterial SSU rRNA". It matches the Rfam family "Bacterial small subunit ribosomal RNA", at positions 26 to 605 of the family's 1533-position model. Lineage: Bacteria; Bacillati; Bacillota; Bacilli; Caryophanales; Bacillaceae. The record is from RNAcentral.